RNAcentral lists this ribosomal RNA (1711 nucleotides) under metagenome. RNAcentral's name for it is "bacterial LSU rRNA". It matches the Rfam family "Bacterial large subunit ribosomal RNA", at positions 1223 to 2925 of the family's 2925-position model. The record is from RNAcentral.
GCAUGGUAGGGGAGCGUUCUGUAGGCCGAUGAAGGUGCAUUGUAAAGUGUGCUGGAGGUAUCAGAAGUGCGAAUGUUGACAUGAGUAGCGAUAAAGCGGGUGAAAAGCCCGCUCGCCGAAAGCCCAAGGUUUCCUACGCAACGUUCAUCGGCGUAGGGUGAGUCGGUCCCUAAGGCGAGGCAGAAAUGCGUAGUCGAUGGGAAACAGGUUAAUAUUCCUGUACUUGAUUCAAAUGCGAUGUGGGGACGGAGAAGGUUAGGUUAGCAAGCUGUUGGAAUAGCUUGUUUAAGCCGGUAGGUGGAAGACUUAGGCAAAUCCGGGUCUUCUUAACACCGAGAAGUGAUGACGAGUGUCUACGGACAUGAAGUAACCGAUACCACGCUUCCAGGAAAAGCCACUAAGCUUCAGUUUGAAUCGAACCGUACCGUAAACCGACACAGGUGGGCAGGAUGAGAAUUCUAAGGCGCUUGAGAGAACUCGGGAGAAGGAACUCGGCAAAUUGAUACCGUAACUUCGGGAGAAGGUAUGCCCUCUAAGGUUAAGGACUUGCUCCGUAAGCCCUGGAGGGUCGCAGAGAAUAGGUGGCUGCGACUGUUUAUUAAAAACACAGCACCCUGCUAACACGAAAGUGGACGUAUAGGGUGUGACGCCUGCCCGGUGCUGGAAGGUUAAUUGAAGAUGUGCAAGCAUCGGAUCGAAGCCCCAGUAAACGGCGGCCGUAACUAUAACGGUCCUAAGGUAGCGAAAUUCCUUGUCGGGUAAGUUCCGACCCGCACGAAUGGCGUAACGAUGGCCACACUGUCUCCUCCUGAGACUCAGCGAAGUUGAAGUGGUUGUGAAGAUGCAAUCUACCCGCUGCUAGACGGAAAGACCCCGUGAACCUUUACUGUAGCUUUGCAUUGGACUUUGAAGUCACUUGUGUAGGAUAGGUGGGAGGCUUUGAAGCAGAGACGCCAGUCUCUGUGGAGCCGUCCUUGAAAUACCACCCUGGUGUCUUUGAGGUUCUAACCCAGACCCGUAAUCCGGGUCGGGGACCGUGCAUGGUAGGCAGUUUGACUGGGGCGGUCUCCUCCCAAAGAGUAACGGAGGAGUUCGAAGGUUACCUAGGUCCGGUCGGAAAUCGGACUGAUAGUGCAAUGGCAAAAGGUAGCUUAACUGCGAGACCGACAAGUCGAGCAGGUGCGAAAGCAGGACAUAGUGAUCCGGUGGUUCUGUAUGGAAGGGCCAUCGCUCAACGGAUAAAAGGUACUCCGGGGAUAACAGGCUGAUUCCGCCCAAGAGUUCAUAUCGACGGCGGAGUUUGGCACCUCGAUGUCGGCUCAUCACAUCCUGGGGCUGUAGUCGGUCCCAAGGGUAUGGCUGUUCGCCAUUUAAAGUGGUACGUGAGCUGGGUUUAAAACGUCGUGAGACAGUUUGGUCCCUAUCUGCAGUGGGCGUUGGAAGUUUGACGGGGGCUGCUCCUAGUACGAGAGGACCGGAGUGGACGAACCUCUGGUGUACCGGUUGUAACGCCAGUUGCAUAGCCGGGUAGCUAAGUUCGGAAGAGAUAAGCGCUGAAAGCAUCUAAGCGCGAAACUCGCCUGAAGAUGAGACUUCCCUUGCGGUUUAACCGCACUAAAGAGUCGUUCGAGACCAGGACGUUGAUAGGUGGGGUGUGGAAGCGCGGUAACGCGUGAAGCUAACCCAUACUAAUUGCUCGUGAGGCUUGACU